RNAcentral lists this ribosomal RNA (155 nucleotides) under uncultured bacterium. RNAcentral describes it as "partial 16S ribosomal RNA". It matches the Rfam family "Bacterial small subunit ribosomal RNA", at positions 355 to 507 of the family's 1533-position model. The record is from RNAcentral.
UGAGGAAUAUUGGGCAAUGGCCGCAAGGCUGACCCAGCCACGCCGCGUGGAGGAUGAAUGUGGUAAGAUUGGAAACUCGUGUUAGAGGGAAAGAAUCGUACCCCUCGUACCGGCAUAGGACUGUACCCUCCCAAAAAACCCCGGCUAACUAAAUG